GAGCCUGAUGAACCAAAUGAUAAACUGCUACAGCGAAAUGUGUGCAAGUUAUCACUAACAACCGUAAAAUAUUUAACAUGGGACUUUAAGAACUGGAAAAUGGAGAAACAUUCUGAUACGAACAUGGACACGGUCGUAAAGAUCUUGAAAUAUUCUGACAAGACUUAAAACGGAGAUAUUGAAGUGGCUUACAGAAGAACCAUAACUAGAAGAGUUCACAGCUCUUAAACUAAAAGAAAAGUAUAAAUGGCGAAGAAAGAAGUUAGCUUAGAAGGCAAUGAUGGUGGUGGGCGGUUUGUCUUCUUCUGUGACAACUCCUAUAGUUGAAUGGCUCUGACUACUAAGCUAGAGGUCCCGGGUCUGAAUCCCGAUGUUUGCGAGCGGUGCCGGAAGACGGGGCGUUGACCUUGUGUGGCGAGCAUCAACGGGACAAACAAACAGAUGAUUUUGUAUGUGCCAUGUCAUAUACUGAAGCGGGCCGCACAGACCAACAAUAUGUAAACAGCGUAGAAAAGCAAUUAAGCUAUGCAGAAAUUACUACACAGUCAAAGUAUUUGAUGGUAAAUCAUUGUAUUUGAUUGAUGGUAUUUCAGGUACCCUGAGAGGCACUGCAUUGCAAUAGUCAGGGCGUGACGAUCAGGUCAACAUCUGCCUGAAAACAUGCUCUGAAAAAGACACGAAACGUCGGGUUAAAUUUAAUAAUAAUAAAAAUGUAACAUUUACGGAAAAAGUAAUGU
Long non-coding RNA from Leptidea sinapis, 737 nucleotides. RefSeq lists it as uncharacterized. The record is from RefSeq and is a predicted model, not a curated record. The transcript is spliced from 3 exons. NCBI's taxonomy places the organism in Eukaryota, Metazoa, Arthropoda, Insecta, Lepidoptera, Pieridae.